CGACUGAGCCACCCAGGAGCCCCUGGAAUUUAGCAUUUUUUAAAUACAUGAAAAAUUUAAGAAUUUGCAUUUAUUUUUAUGUUGCUUAUUUUUGUCUUACUUUUGUAAUCAAAUAACUUAUACUAAAAUUAACACAUAAGAAUUGAGGAUACAAUUAUCUAUCUCACAUGCUUUGUCUUUAUUCUUUUUCUUUAAUUGUCUUAAUUUUUGUUCUAAUUUUUCACUUUGUUUUUAUGUUUUCAAGCCACGCUUUUCUCUUUUUGUCCUUUUCUUUAUGCUACUUCUAGUAAUUAUACUUUUUAAAAAGUGAGAUGGAUCAUUUUGGGGAUGAGUAAAACAUACCAAUUUGGGAUUCGAUUCCAAAUAUCCAAUGAACGUGUGUAGAAAAAUAUUCAGGUUAUUUUUUCAAUUUGAAUACAGUAAUCUAUGUGGAAACCUAAUGGGGACAGAUGUUCUGAAAAAUGGUUACAUUUACAAUCAAGAUUAGAGUCUCCUGAAGAAUAGGAAAUAAAAGAUCUUUGUGAAGCAUUUCAAAAUCAAAGACAAAGCAGAAAUCAUGCAAUUAGAUAUAGGAAAGCAUAUGAAGAUGUUCAAGUUCAAUAAUACAGUCUGGUUAAAAUUAAAGAGAAGGAAAGUAUGAUCAAUAAAGCUUAAGUAUAUAAUUCAGCCAUCAAUUUCUAUCUUGUUUCCAAAUUUCAGAUUGCUAAUAAAAUUAUUAUGAUAUCAUUAUCACAAUGUUAAGUAAUUACAAAACCCACAAAUUAUAUAUAAAAAUGAUUAUUAAAAUAUGUAAUAAUAAAGUCAUUAUUCUUGUGUAUAGGUAAAAUAUAAUGAUUGCUUUUUAAAUUCAGGGUAUAAUAAAUGUCAUGGUGUGAUCAAUGAUAGUACAGGAUCAAAGUUUGAGAUGAGGUCAAUAAAACCACAAACAACCUUACAUUAUUUUCAGUGGAUUUCUACACACGAUGACAAAACAGCUGUGCUUCAAGCCUGCCUUUACAACAAAUUAUGAAUAGGCAUGAAAACAAUGACAAUUACUGUAGCUAUAAAAGGAUCCAUUGCCCAUAGAUGUUUAAAUUGUUCCAUAUCACUUAGGUUGAUAUAUAAAAUCUCGUGUUAUCAAGAGGGCAGUAAACUUAGCCCUACUAUCAUAGAUGAGUUAAUACUUGGAAUGUUUAAAUGAUGUGCCCAAGUCAAAUAACCAGCUAUUAAAUAAAGAAGAAAGGGCGUGUAAGUCUACUCCAUGAGGCAACUGAGGAGAUAAGAUGUUGCAUAAACCGUAAAGUUUGGAGGCAUCUCUAAUUUUUAAUAAAUGUUAAGUAAAAGAAAUAUAUGCAAAACGGUUAAUAACCAAAUGAGAUUGAAAGGCUCAUAAUGAAAACCAGCUACUCCGUUUUCUACCUUCCCCACCCCUUUUGACACCCCUUCCCUGACCACUUCCUGCUCCAGGUACCGUUCCCCAAAAGCAACUACUUUUAAUUAUUUAGCUGUUUCUUCUGUUAGUUACACUAAGGCUCAACAGUAUAAAAAAACCAAGUAACCGAAAUAAUGCAUGUAGCAACCAACUCUAUUACCAAGUCUUAAAUGUUUCAGAAACACAGAAACUUAGUGCCAUCAGUGAGAAUAUCAACGGUCAUUUUAUAGAAGUGCUAAUCAAUAGAUUUUUGUGAGAGGAAAUGAUGGACAACAGACCUUUUUUGUAUAUAGGAUUUUGUGGUCAGCUCUUUUUAUUUUCACUGAAGACAAAAGUCAUCUCUGUAAUAUCAUGGUAUUCAGAGAGAAUUAUGUUGGCGUACACUUUGAGUAGGAUUGUCUCCACAGCAAAGUAGCAUCUGCCCAAUAAAAUGUUCCCUUGAAGCAUCCCUUGGCAAUCUUUGUCUUGGCAAAGGCAGUCCUCUGGUCAUGUUACCUGGCGUUGGUCUUUUGAGGACAACAGAGUUAGUGGAUGCAGGCUCUGAACCCAGCCUUUGUACAUGCUUCGUGAUGGGCAGGGACUGGAUGAAAUCUGUUCACAGAGAGCUGUCAGUUGUCGGGUGGGUACCUAUGGGAUCUAUCAAGCAUCACAGCAAAUUCUGCCUUAUACUGUCAAUGCUUUACGUUAUCUCCAAAAUUGCAUCUUUCUUUAACUAGUAUCUGGUGGGAUAGAGAUAGCCUUUCAGAGGCUAGGUGUUAUCUCCUAUAAGCUGUCGUAUUUUUAUUGCUUGCCUUCAAAUCUUAAGGGGCAAGAAGUACGAAGAAGCCGUCAUUUAUUAUUUUUAUGACAAUAUAUUAAACUGGAUUAUUAAUGCCCAUCUUAUUUUCAUAAUCGUAUGCUAAAAAAUGGAUUGUCAAGGUGUAGAGACACCCAGAGAUCAUGGAAUUUAAAAAAAGGAGAUUCCUUCAUCUCAGAUGCUACUGUUGAAGUGUCCAACUAUUUCCUUCCCUGUACUGAAGUGGAACAAGGAAAGCUAGACCUCCUUAAAUGAUGCUCUAAAGACUGCUUAAGUAAUUGGAUACAUUGUCAGUGGCUGUCAGGAAGAAGGUCGUAGAAUACCACACUCAGUGGCUCUUUAUCUGGGUUCAGCGAUAAAUGCCAGCUCAGUUCACUCAGUCAGCUUGCCUCCCUAAUGAUAUGCUGAAGCAUUAAAAAUGGAUUUCUUCUUUGUCAAUAGUACAUCAUGUAUAUCUAAAAUGAGUGGCAGUUUUCCACUCUAAUUUGGUCCUUAGAAUUUUCUUUUUCUUUCUCUCUCUCUCUCUCUUUUUUUUUUAGGAAGUUGGUACAUGAACUUGGUUCGUGACACAGCGAUAGCUCUACAGAUUUUCAGUUUUGAAAAGUAGAGGGGUAUCACAGAAAGAUGAGUAGCCAGAAUCUUUGGUGUAUGUGCCGCCGAAGCGAGCCCAGGAAGAGCUGUUUACACGCUAUUUCCGUAACGCAUGGCCAGGGUUAAACCAGUUCCACAGAAAUGUACUUUUCAUCAUGAUAACUUGUGAAUACGAAAAAUUACUUGAAGGCAUUUUUUUCCCCCUUCUACCUUGGAAGAGCAGAGGGCUAAUACGCCAUUCUCAUUGUUCUUCCUGGGAGUGCUGUACAUCUGGGUCGGACUUCCUAAUGAAAUGGUGGCCUUUCUGAUGAGUCCAGCUGGUCAGUGACAUGGCGUGGCCCUGUUUUGAGAUGAACGCAGCGUGGAGUCAAGGGAGAGAGACGGUCGGCGCUCCCUUGAAGGCUGGGCCGUGGGGAAGAAGGCCUCACAGAACAAUUGGCCAAGGCGUGGCCCAAUGAUUAGCAGGUGCUGCCCUCUCUGCCCUUGGCUGUGUUUCCUGGCCAGCGAAGAAGCUUAUCUCAACACGCUUGGAACGGAUGAAGACAUGGAUGUUUCCCAAUUGUUUGACUUCUAACCUUCCUGGGUGACCUGCAUGUCACUAGCUGAGAGGCCACAGCAGAGCCCGGAUGGGGCCUCCCGGCUUCUAGGGUGGAUUGCCAACUAACGAAUAAGGCCAUUUGAUGCCGGUCUCGAGGUUAGAAGUCAACAGUCAGGAUUUUCAAAACAUCAUCUCUUAAAGACGUUACUAAGUGGACACACAUCAUCCUUACAACUCCUGGAACUCAGAGAGGAAACCGUCUGACUUUGGAGCUGUUGCCAAUGAUGGCUUCAACGGGAUUUUCGUAAUAUUCGAGUAGAGUGACACCAGAAAUUUUUACAGAUCCUCAAAAUCUUCGAAAGGCAUUUAAGUAGUUGUGGCUACAUUAAAUCUUCUUGAAGAAGUAAAUAUCUUUUAAAGUAUGACAUUGAAUUGGGAUACGGGCACGGACACAGCUGAUGCUAUAAGUUUCUCUUCAGAAGUAAAUUAGUGUCAUUUCUUAUGGUUCAUUGUCAUGGAGGCAGCGGUGGCAGUAGAAGUUCUGGAAAGCCAUCAAAUUUACUCACUGAUCGCAUCCACAGGACCUGCACUUUGUUAAACAAUGCGCAUAGAAUGAUGAGCAAGUCAGGGACUGAAGACCUGUCAGUGGAAAUUUAUACUUUGUUUUUAAGUAAGAGAGAAGAAAUAUGAAUGACCCAGGAAAAAGAAGUGACCACAGUAAGUAACCUUUUUAAGACAUUCCUCUUUUCCUAACUUCCCAGAAGCGAUCACACUUAGCAAUGGGAGUUAAAUCCUCCAGUUCUCGUGGUUCUGUCCUUAUGUGAGUUCUCAAGCCGCCCCUGGGCUCUUAUCACAACCCAGAACCUCAAGUUUAAUGAACAAAUGCUCUACCUAAGAGAUACAGUUUUAUCUUCAAAUCUGUCACUUCAAAUGAAAAGCAGGCCCCUGAAUCUUUGAGCUAAGGAAUAGGGUCAUUCUGUUAGGGUCGAGUGGUAACAUGGAAAGUAUGUCCUAUUGAGAGAUCAUGUUCUCUGUUUUCUGAAGCAUAAACUGUGGUGGUAACUGAACAGGUAGUACUUUUCAGUGUUUGCAAAUUUUACUAAAACGUCAGGUAUACAUAGUAUCUAUAGACUCAUGUGUCUGUUCAAGAGUGAGCUUAUUUUGUUCUUAUUUUAUAUUUAACCCACUAAAUGAUGUACCUAUUUUUUCCCUUUCUGGUAUAAAUUUAAUUUGCUAUAGUAAUGCCUACAUUUGCUAGAAGUGAUUAUAUUAAUUAAUUCGAAAGCUGAAAGUUAUUUUCUUUAUUCUGUUGCAUAAAUAAAUGAUUGAAUGCCACUGCUUUUGGAUAAGCAUGGUCAAAUGAUAAUUGUGUUCAUAUUUUGGGAAUCAAUUUUAUAUUACUCUAAUUUGUUACAAUGCUUUUGUAUGUGCAAUAGUCUCUCGUUAAAUCAGGCAUUCCUUAAAUGGUAUUAAUUAACAUGUGUAAAAUCUACCUUGAAAACUCAUUUAAUUUUACAAAUUAUACUACUUCAUGACAGUAUCCCUGGAGCUUCAUCAAGUCUCCGAUUUCUAAAUAAUUUUGAAGUAAAAAGGAUUUUUAAUUAAAAAAAACCCAAAGUUCUUUUCACAAUCGUAUUUGGCAGGAAAACAUUGCAUCAUAGACUUUUAAGUGCCGCCUGGAUGAUUUCAUAAGAGUAGUUUUAUCUAUCCAGCCUGUAGUGUGCCUAUUAAGUGCUCAAUCUGGUUAGUAGGGCAAGGUCUCUACUUAUAAGUAGGAGACACUUCAUCAGGAGUUACUAUGAUACAAGUAAAUGUAAUGUUGUCAAUAGAACCAUGUCCUACUGACAUCCAGAGGGUAGAACCUUGAGAUAGAAGUGGAAGAAGAUGUCAAAGAGACCUUCACAGAGGAGCAAACAUUUCAGCUUGACCUUGAGGUCUGUGGGCUGAAAGACAUAUCUGGUAGGGGAGAUUUCAGUAUCAUUACUAUGGAGAUCAACAGACUGUUUGGGAAACAGGGAAGUUUGUUCAGUGAGGUUAGCACAUGGGAUUCAGUGAGGGUAGAGAAAGAAUAAUAGAAGGUAAGGCCAAGGAUACAGUUCAGGGUCAUAGUCUGAAUUUGAGAGUAGACAAUGACAAAUUGGACAAUGACAAUGGACAAUGGCAAUGACAAAUUAUCUAGUACAGGGCAGGAAAGGCAGUUUAUACUGAUGAAGAGUGGCUGUUGGGAACCCUCCUCUUAAGGGCCCUUUUGGAUUCAGGAGGAAAACUUAUGGCUACAAUCCAUUAUGACAGAGGUGAGGAAAAGGGGUCUGUGAUUUUGCAGAUACAAAUCUAAGGUUUCCAAGCAAAGGAUGGACAUACCUAAAUCUGUAAUUCGAAGAACAAAACAAACAAAACAGUUCUCUGGUAUCAGUAGAGAAGAUGGAUUAGAGAGAAGGGAAGUCAGAGUUUGGUUUGAAGGUCUUUGUAAUAAUUCAGAUAUACGAUGAUCAGACAUGAGUUCGAGCAGUGAUAAAGAAAAUGGAAAGGAGUGGCAUGGCAGAAACACCAGGGCAGAACAAACUUCUUAAGACUGAUUGGAUCUGGAGGGUGAAAGAAAAAGAAAAGUCUAAGACUCUAAGUCAGUAUUUAGUUUAUGGAUUUGAGUGACUGUGGAAUCAGCCAUUUAUUGCUGCAUACCAAACAACUCUCGCAUUCAGUGGCUUAAAUAACAAGCAUUUCAUAACCUUGUGAAUCUGUAGGUCUAGUGAAGUUCUCCUGAUGCAGUUUGGGCUUAUUGAUGGGGCUUUCUUCAGGCAGAGGCGGCUAGGGAAGCUAUACUUAGCAUUGCAGGUUUGGGGAGCUGCUGGAGCAAUUCUCCUUGACGUGUCUCUCUCAUCGUCCUUGUCCCAACGUGUUUGUGUGAUACCGUGAUCUCUAGUAAGAGAUGUAUAUUUGGUCUUCAUACCCUAUU
Long non-coding RNA from Felis catus (domestic cat), 6289 nucleotides. RefSeq lists it as uncharacterized. The record is from RefSeq and is a predicted model, not a curated record. The transcript has 5 exons. NCBI's taxonomy places the organism in Eukaryota, Metazoa, Chordata, Mammalia, Carnivora, Felidae.